UACGGGGGGGGCAAGCGUUGUUCGGAAUUACUGGGCGUAAAGGGCUCGUAGGCGGCCAACUAAGUCAGACGUGAAAUCCCUCGGCUUAACCGGGGAACUGCAUCUGAUACUGGAUGGCUUGAGUUCGGGAGGGGGAUGCGGAAUUCCAGGUGUAGCGGUGAAAUGCGUAGAUAUCUGGAGGAACACCGGUGGCGAAGGCGGCAUCCUGGACCGACACUGACGCUGAGGAGCGAAAGCCGGGGGAGCAAACGGG
This 253-nucleotide ribosomal RNA is filed under the name uncultured bacterium. Its description in RNAcentral is "partial 16S ribosomal RNA". It matches the Rfam family "Bacterial small subunit ribosomal RNA", at positions 524 to 776 of the family's 1533-position model. The record is from RNAcentral.